This 130-nucleotide ribosomal RNA is filed under the name Glomus sp. (unid). The record is from RNAcentral. Lineage: Eukaryota; Fungi; Glomeromycota; Glomeromycetes; Glomerales; Glomeraceae.
CUAACAUAUAUGCGAGUGUUUUGAAAGGGAAACGAUUGAAGUCAGUCGUACCUGCGGGUAAUCAGCCUUUUGGGCAUGAUUCUGUGGAGCGUGAGGAGUUAAUCGCCUUCAUGCCUAUAUAUUCGUGUAC